RNAcentral lists this non-coding RNA (754 nucleotides) under Parantica sita. Lineage: Eukaryota; Metazoa; Arthropoda; Insecta; Lepidoptera; Nymphalidae. The record is from RNAcentral.
GAAAAAUUUAUUAAAAGUUUAUUUUAUAUAUAAAUUAUAGUGUUAAAUUAUUAUUAUUUUAAUAAUAAUAAUAUUUUUAUUAUAGUAAAUAAAAUUAAAAAUUUAAGAAAUUAAGAUUUAGUAAUACAAAAAUUAAUAACAAAUUUUGUGCCAGCAGUUGCGGUUACACAAAAAUUAAAUUGAAUUAUUUCAGUUUAUAAAUAAUAAAUUAAAAUUAAAAUAGAUAUUAAAUUAUUAGGUAAAAUUUUAAUUUAAUUAAAUUUUAUAGGUAAAUUUAUGUUUUAAUAAAUUUUAAGAUAAACUAGGAUUAGAUACCCUAUUAUUAAAAAUUUAAAUUAUAAUACUAAAAUAGUAAAUAAUUAUUUAUUGAAACUUAAAUAAUAUGGCGGUAUUUUAGUUCAUUUAGAGGAAUCUGUUUAAUAAUUGAUAAUCCACGAUUAAAUUUACUUAAUUAAUAAUUUUAUAUAUCGUUGUUAAAAAAAUAUUUUUAAUUAAUAAUAAUAUUUUAAAAUUUAAAUAAAAAAUUAAUUCAGAUCAAGAUGUAGAUUAUAAUUAAGAAUAUAAUGGAUUACAAUAAAUUUAUUUAAAUGAAUAUAUUAUUGAAAAAUAAUAUUGAAGGUGGAUUUAAAUGUAAUUUUAUUUAAUUGAAUAAAAUGAUUUAAAAUUAAAAUAUGUACAUAUUGCCCGUCACUUUCAUUUUAAAGUUGAAAUAAGUCGUAACAAAGUAGAGGUACUGGAAAGUGUUUCUAGAAAA